CCCUUAGAUGUUCUGGGCCGCACGCGUGCUACACUGAGUAAUUCAAUGGGUAAGGGAACGCUAGAGCAUUACCUAAUCUUGAAAUUUGCUCGUGAUGGGGGUCGACGGUUGCAAUUUUCCGUCGUGAACGAGGAAUACCUUGUAGGCGCAUGUCAUCAUCAUGCGCCGAAUACGUCCCUGCCCUUUGUACACACCGCCCGUCGCUCCUACUGAUUGGGUGAUCCGGUGAGCUGUUCGGCCAUAGCAAUGUUUCUUGAGCAGGGCAAUGAAUGUUUCGCAAACCUUGCCACUUAGAGGAAGGAGAAGUCGUAACA
This 314-nucleotide ribosomal RNA is filed under the name uncultured eukaryote. RNAcentral's name for it is "partial 18S ribosomal RNA". It matches the Rfam family "Eukaryotic small subunit ribosomal RNA", at positions 1470 to 1796 of the family's 1831-position model. The record is from RNAcentral.